GACGAACGCUGGCGGCGUGCUUAACACAUGCAAGUCGAGGGGGUGUGUCCUUUCGGGGGCGCACCACCGGCGAACGGGUGCGUAACACGUGAGCGACCUGCCCUGGAGUGGGGGAUAGCCGGCCCAACGGCCGGGUAAUACCGCAUGCGUUCCCGCGGGGGGCACGUCCCCGGGGGAAGAAAGCCGUGCUUGCACGGCGCUCGAGGAGGGGCUCGCGGCCUAUCAGCUAGUUGGCGGUGUGACGGACCACCAAGGCGACGACGGGUAGCUGGUCUGGGAGGAUGGCCAGCCACAUUGGGACUGAGAGACGGCCCAGACUCCUACGGGAGGCAGCAGUGGGGAAUCUUGCGCAAUGGCCGAAAGGCUGACGCAGCGACGCCGCGU
RNAcentral lists this ribosomal RNA (384 nucleotides) under uncultured bacterium. Its description in RNAcentral is "bacterial SSU rRNA". It matches the Rfam family "Bacterial small subunit ribosomal RNA", at positions 28 to 402 of the family's 1533-position model. The record is from RNAcentral.